GUUAUAGUAUUAAGACUCCAGCUUUAUUAAUUAAAGCAAGAUAUGUGUAUGUUCGAAGGGCUUAUAUUGCCUACGAACUUAACAGUGUACAACACCGCCAGCUUAAGGACAACACCUGUGUGGUGGAAUUCCAGUUCAUGCUGCCCACAUCUCAUCCAAACAGAGGGAACAUCCCUACGCUAAACAGAAUGUCCUUCUCCUCCAACCUCAACCACUAUGGCAUGACCCAUGUAGCUAGUGUCAGCGAUGUACUGUUGGACAACUCAUUCACUCCACCUUGUCAGCGGAUGGGCGGAAUGGUCUCUUUUCGGACUUUUGAAGAUUUUGUCAGGAUCUUUGAUGAAGUGAUGGGCUGCUUCUCUGACUCCCCACCCCAGAGUCCCACAUUCCCGGAGGCGGGUCACACGUCUCUUUAUGAUGAAGAUAAGGUUCCCAGGGAUGAACCAAUUCACAUUCUCAAUGUGGCUAUCAAGACUGACUGUGAUAUUGAGGAUGACAGGCUGGCAGCUAUGUUCAGAGAAUUUACCCAGCAAAAUAAAGCUACCCUGGUUGACCAUGGGAUCCGGCGCCUUACUUUCCUGGUUGCACAAA
Molecule: small RNA, 591 nt
Filed under: Pongo abelii (Sumatran orangutan)
Lineage: Eukaryota; Metazoa; Chordata; Mammalia; Primates; Hominidae
Description: processed transcript
Source: RNAcentral